RNAcentral lists this ribosomal RNA (478 nucleotides) under uncultured bacterium. RNAcentral's name for it is "partial 16S ribosomal RNA". It matches the Rfam family "Bacterial small subunit ribosomal RNA", at positions 28 to 523 of the family's 1533-position model. The record is from RNAcentral.
GACGAACGCUGGCGGCGUGCUUAACACAUGCAAGUCGAACGGUAAGGCCCUUCGGGGUACACGAGUGGCGAACGGGUGAGUAACACGUGGGUGAUCUGCCCUGCACUUCGGGAUAAGCCUGGGAAACUGGGUCUAAUACCGGAUAGGACUCCUGGCUUCAUGGUUGGGGGGGGAAAGCUCUUGCGGUGUGGGAUGGGCCCGCGGCCUAUCAGCUUGUUGGUGGGGUAAUGGCCUACCAAGGCGACGACGGGUAGCCGGCCUGAGAGGGUGACCGGUCACACUGGGACUGAGAUACGGCCCAGACUCCUACGGGAGGCAGCAGUGGGGAAUAUUGCACAAUGGGCGCAAGCCAGAUGCAGCGACGCCGCGUGAGGGAUGACGGCCUUCGGGUUGUAAACCUCUUUCAGCUAUGACGAAGCGCAAGUGACGGUAGUAGCAGAAGAAGGACCGGCCAACUACGUGCCAGCCGCCGCGGUAA